RNAcentral lists this long non-coding RNA (1287 nucleotides) under Anser brachyrhynchus (Pink-footed goose). Its description in RNAcentral is "lncRNA (ENSABRG00000009184.1)". Lineage: Eukaryota; Metazoa; Chordata; Aves; Anseriformes; Anatidae. The record is from RNAcentral.
AAACGUUGCGUAGAAAAGCGAGAAACAAAGGGGGAGAGAGAGCGGGGAGCCAGCCCCGGGCGCUGCUGUCCUCUGCCGGCACGACGUGCCCCCGCACUUGGCCGUGAGGGCGAAAAAAAAAACCCACACAAACCACCCACCCACGCGCGCGUUUUUAUCAUUUUAUUAUUUCCUAAAAGAGGAGAAACAGGCGUUAAAGGGAAGAAAGAAGCCCUAAAACGGGGAGCAAACCCAUCGCCCCCCUCAGGGGGCGGCGGAGCGCUCCCCCGUCAGGGGCGGAGAGCUCCCCUCAGGGCCGCAGAGCGCAGGCCCCGCCGCCGGCCGCCUCCGCCCGCCCCUCGGCCGCGGUGCGGGGCCCAUUGGCUGCGCUCCGCCACGUGCCGCCGCCGCCGCCGCCGCUGCCCCCGGCGGGGCCGUUACCUGCGGCGGGGCCGCGCCGCCCGCCCCGAUGCGGAGGCAGGGCGCCCGGGCCGAGCCCAGCGCAGGUGGGUAGGGGCGGCGAGGCGGGUAUGGGGGAGCGGGGAGGCGGGAGGGGGCUUUCUUGGGGGGGAAAUAGAGGCGGUUUCAGGGUUUUGGGGCGCUGCGUGGCUCGGAGGGGGGUUUAUUGCCUCAGAGAGGGGGUCUUUUACCUCAGAAGGGGGCUUUUUCUCUCAGAGGAGGGGGCUUAUUGCCUCAAAGAGCGGGUUUAUUCCCUCAGGGAGGGGUUUAUUCCCUCAGACGGGGGUCUUUUUCCCUCAGAGAAGGGCUUUUUCCCUCAGAAGGGGGGGCUUUUUCCCUCAGAGAGGGGGGCGUUUUCCCUCAGAGGGCUGCUUUCCCCUCACAGGCGCUGCCCUCCUCCCCCGCGGUGCCCGCCGAGGCGUGAAGGCUCCGAUCUCUCUGUGGUGUUUCUUUUUUUUUUUUUUUAAAUUUAAAUUUUUAUUUUUUAUUAUUAUUUUUGAGGGUGGGGUCGCUUCCACCACGCCAGGUGCGGGGCCCUGCCGGGGGGGUCAGGGCUGGGCGAGGAGAGGCCUCGCAGCGCCGGGGGAGCGCCGUGCCGCCGCCCCCUUCCCUCCCUCCUGCCCCCUUCCCCCCCAGUCCCUGCCCCUAUUUCAGCCCCUUCCCUGCCCCUGUCUCAGCCCCUUCCCUGCCCCCUAUUUAAAGCUGGCCCCGCAGCAGCCCUGGCUUCGGAGAGCUGGCCCCCGGGGAAGGCGCAGAGAUGCAGGUAUUCCCCAGCUUUACACCAUCUCGGGCCUCUUCCCAGCGCCAGGAAUGCGGCUGGGGCUGUUUGGAGUCAUUCUGCCGAAAUAA